Molecule: ribosomal RNA, 465 nt
Filed under: uncultured Steroidobacter sp.
Lineage: Bacteria; Pseudomonadati; Pseudomonadota; Gammaproteobacteria; Steroidobacterales; Steroidobacteraceae
Description: bacterial SSU rRNA
Rfam family: Bacterial small subunit ribosomal RNA
Source: RNAcentral
CCUACGGGGGGCAGCAGUGGGGAAUAUUGGACAAUGGGGGAAACCCUGAUCCAGCGACGCCGCGUGGGUGAAGAAGGCCUGCGGGUUGUAAAGCCCUUUCGGUGGGGAAGAAAAGCCUCGACCUAAUACGUCGGGGUGUUGACGUAACCCACAUAAGAAGCACCGGCUAACUCUGUGCCAGCAGCCGCGGUAAUACAGAGGGUGCGAGCGUUAAUCGGAAUUACUGGGCGUAAAGCGCGCGUAGGCGGCAUUGCAAGUCGGGUGUGAAAUCCCCGGGCUCAACCUGGGAACUGCAUUCGAGACUGCAUUGCUUGAGUAUGGGAGAGGGAGGCGGAAUUUCCGGUGUAGCGGUGAAAUGCGUAGAUAUCGGAAGGAACAUCAGUGGCGAAAGCGGCCUCCUGGACCAAUACUGACGCUCAUGUGCGAAAGCGUGGGGAGCAAACAGGAUUAGAUACCCUGGUAGUC